This 494-nucleotide ribosomal RNA is filed under the name uncultured bacterium. RNAcentral describes it as "partial 16S ribosomal RNA". It matches the Rfam family "Bacterial small subunit ribosomal RNA", at positions 28 to 507 of the family's 1533-position model. The record is from RNAcentral.
GACGAACGCUGGCGGCGUGCUUAACACAUGCAAGUCGAACGGUGAAGCGCCUUCCUUUUUGGUGGGUGUGGAUGAGUGGCGAACGGGUGAGUAACACGUGAGUAACCUGCCCCCUUCUUCUGGAUAACCGCAUGAAAGUGUGGCUAAUACGGGAUAUUCUGGGUCUGUCGCAUGAUGGGUCUGGGAAAGAUAUUGUUUCGGUGGGGGAUGGGCUCGCGGCCUAUCAGCUUGUUGGUGGGGUGAUGGCCUACCAAGGCGGUGACGGGUAGCCGGCCUGAGAGGGUGGACGGUCACACUGGGACUGAGACACGGACCAGACUCCUACGGGAGGCAGCAGUGGGGAAUAUUGCACAAUGGGCGCAAGCCUGAUGCAGCGACGCCGCGUGGGGGAUGGAGGCCUGCGGGUUGUGAACCUCUUUCGCCAGUGAAGCAGGCCUGCCUCGUUUGUGGGUGGGUUGACGGUAGCUGGAUAAGAAGCGCCGGCUAACUACGUG